RNAcentral lists this ribosomal RNA (485 nucleotides) under uncultured bacterium. Its description in RNAcentral is "partial 16S ribosomal RNA". It matches the Rfam family "Bacterial small subunit ribosomal RNA", at positions 30 to 506 of the family's 1533-position model. The record is from RNAcentral.
AUUGAACGCUGGCGGCAUGCCUUACACAUGCAAGUCGAACGGCAGCACGGGUGCUUGCACCUGGUGGCGAGUGGCGAACGGGUGAGUAAUACAUCGGAACAUGUCCUGUAGUGGGGGAUAGCCCGGCGAAAGCCGGAUUAAUACCGCAUACGAUCCACGGAUGAAAGCGGGGGACCUUCGGGCCUCGCGCUAUAGGGUUGGCCGAUGGCUGAUUAGCUAGUUGGUGGGGUAAAGGCCUACCAAGGCGACGAUCAGUAGCUGGUCUGAGAGGACGACCAGCCACACUGGGACUGAGACACGGCCCAGACUCCUACGGGAGGCAGCAGUGGGGAAUUUUGGACAAUGGGCGAAAGCCUGAUCCAGCAAUGCCGCGUGUGUGAAGGAGGCCUUCGGGUUGUAAAGCACUUUUGUCCGGAAAGAAAUCCUUGGCUCUAAUACAGUCGGGGGAUGACGGUACCGGAAGAAUAAGCACCGGCUAACUACGU